ACUUCUAAAGGAAAGUAGUAAUCCGUUGGUCUUAGGCACCAAAAAUCUUGGUGCAACUCCAAGUAAAAGUA
This 71-nucleotide transfer RNA is filed under the name Eremias vermiculata. RNAcentral's name for it is "tRNA-Leu". It matches the Rfam family "tRNA". From Rfam's summary of the family: Transfer RNA (tRNA) molecules are approximately 80 nucleotides in length. Their secondary structure includes four short double-helical elements and three loops (D, anti-codon, and T loops). Further hydrogen bonds mediate the characteristic L-shaped molecular structure. tRNAs have two regions of fundamental functional importance: the anti-codon, which is responsible for specific mRNA codon recognition, and the 3' end, to which the tRNAs corresponding amino acid is attached (by aminoacyl-tRNA synthetases). tRNAs cope with the degeneracy of the genetic code in two manners: having more than one tRNA (with a specific anti-codon) for a particular amino acid; and 'wobble' base-pairing, i.e. permitting non-standard base-pairing at the 3rd anti-codon position. The record is from RNAcentral. Lineage: Eukaryota; Metazoa; Chordata; Lepidosauria; Squamata; Lacertidae.